AUUGAACGCUGGCGGCAGGCUUAACACAUGCAAGUCGAGCGAGCGGCGGACGGGUGAGUAAUGUCUGGGAAACUGCCCGAUAGAGGGGGAUAACUACUGGAAACGGUAGCUAAUACCGCAUACCAUCAGAUGUACCCAGAUGGGAUUAGCUAGUAGGUGGGGUAAUGGCUCACCUAGGCGACGAUCCCUAGCUGGUCUGAGAGGAUGACCAGCCACACUGGAACUGAGACACGGUCCAGACUCCUACGGGAGGCAGCAGGGGGGAAUAUUGCAAAAGGGGCGCAAGCCUGAUGCAGCCAUGCCGCGUGUGUGAAGAAGGCCUUCGGGUUGUAAAGCACUUUCAGCGAGGAGGCGUUACUCGCAGAAGAAGCACCGGCUAACUCCGUGCCAGCCGCCGCGGUAAUUC
RNAcentral lists this ribosomal RNA (406 nucleotides) under uncultured bacterium. RNAcentral describes it as "partial 16S ribosomal RNA". It matches the Rfam family "Bacterial small subunit ribosomal RNA", at positions 30 to 526 of the family's 1533-position model. The record is from RNAcentral.